AAUCAAUACCUCUGUUAUUCUUCUGCUAAUAAACUAACGGUAAAACUCACGUGAGAGGCACGUGGGAAUAAAAACCAAAGCUGAAUAACCUGAACCGUUGAGAGAGAGGGGAGAUGAUCCAACCAAAAGUCCAUAACCACCUCGGUAUCCUCUCUCCAGUGCCGGAGUUCCGCCGUCGUCUCACUGGCUGUUCACCGCUGGAUCAUAAUGUAUGCUAUUGGAGAAGAGCAAAGUUGAAAUGCACAUAGAGGAUCCCUAAGUGGCUUGGAGGACAUAUCAAUAUAUUUUACCAAAAUGUCAAACUCGUUUGUCAUGUGAAGAAAAUCAAUCAACAUGGAGGAGAUGUUUUCAAUGGCUUUUGUAAAUCUGGACUCUAGUACCAGCUUACUAUAUAUACAUUGCAGUGACUAUCUAUGUAGGAGCCCUAAAAACAAGGCUUGUGAUGUAAAAACAGGGCUUGUGAUGUAAUAUACCUACUAGUUGUGGAAUGAUUCAAGCAGAAGAUGAUUGAGAAGAAACUCAGACACAUUCUCGAAUUUUAUUUUA
Long non-coding RNA from Quercus robur (English oak), 546 nucleotides. RefSeq lists it as uncharacterized. The record is from RefSeq and is a predicted model, not a curated record. The transcript has 2 exons. NCBI's taxonomy places the organism in Eukaryota, Viridiplantae, Streptophyta, Magnoliopsida, Fagales, Fagaceae.